Pollicipes pollicipes is the source of this 170-nucleotide long non-coding RNA. RefSeq lists it as uncharacterized. Lineage: Eukaryota; Metazoa; Arthropoda; Thecostraca; Pollicipedomorpha; Pollicipedidae. The transcript has 3 exons. The record is from RefSeq and is a predicted model, not a curated record.
UGCUGCGCCUGCGCAACGAGCAGGACGGCCAGAUGAUCCUCGAGAUGGACUCCGACAACGUGCUGCUGCAGGACCCGUCGCUCUCACAGCCGCUGAUCCACCGCUGCCGCGUCUGCAAGCAGCUGUUCAACACGCAGCUGGCACUGGCGACGCAUGAGGCGAGCCACGCG